RNAcentral lists this long non-coding RNA (2624 nucleotides) under Homo sapiens (human). RNAcentral's name for it is "non-protein coding lnc-TIAL1-1:4". The record is from RNAcentral. Lineage: Eukaryota; Metazoa; Chordata; Mammalia; Primates; Hominidae.
GUCGUGGUCACCGGUGGCAGCUCGGGAGCUCGGCCGAGUCGGUCUGGACUGACCGCCUCCCUCCGCGCGGCCUUGGGGACAGGCGCCCACCGCUGGGGCCUCCCCUCCGUGCAGGGAGGCGCUCACGCUUCGCCAGGCCGAGACCUGAAUCCAACCCCACACCCGCUCUCCCGGAGCGGUGCGGGGUACGUUCCCCGCGGGCCUGCGCUGCCUGCCCGUACCGAAACCAGGCGAGACCCCGGGGCCUGGCUACAGGGGUUCAUCCCCAGCCAGGCCCACAGCCAAGCGGAGGCGUCUUCUGUUUUCGUAUUCCCUAUUAGAAGUUUGACAACAGGAGGCAUUCAAUAAAUGCACAUCAACGAGGGAAAGCAUGUAACAAUAGAAAACACACAAGCAUUAGCAGCACGCGGCUAAAGAGCGAGGAGGAAGGGAGGAAUGUACAGGUGCUGCUGUGUCCCGAAUUAAGCAGGGCGGUUUGGAGAAGACUUCACAAAUGGAGCCAGUUAAUGAAGCAAGCGGAAGGAAUAUCGUUUGGCGAGGAUAAGAUGAAUGGAGACCCUCUCGGGGAAGGAGGAGUCUCCCCCAAACAUCCUUGAGCUCAGUCUGUCUUGAAAAACCAGUUGAUAUCCUGAACAGAAUGGGUCUGGAGAAUGAGGCCCCCACUUCCGGGGCCAGUUCGAGGACUAUCUAGCUGUGUGAUCUUGGGGAAGUCUCUUGGUCUCAGAUGGUGGUUGAACUAAUGACCUUUUAUGACACCCCCAGUUCUAUAAAUCAUUGAGUCUUCCUACUCCUAACUCCUUGCCUUCUCUAAUGCCUGAAUCGGAAACAAGAGAAAAAGACAAGAAGUAGGAGAUGAGAAAAAUAAGGCAAUACUUUUUUUUUUUUUUUUUUUAGUUUAGGAGCGGAAGUUUAUAGGCAAAAGAAAAGGGAGAACAGCUGUCUCUCUUGCGAGAGAGAGGAGUGACCGAAUGGGACUUCUCAGAAAGCAAUACUUUUAACCUUCUGCUCAAGUAAAAGUGAGAGGGUACAAAAGCAGGAAGGAGUUCCACAUGACUAGUUAUUCCAGCCCACAGUGUUGAAUUUCCAUAGCACAGAAAGUCCAAUGAUAACAAAGCGUCCUGGAAUCUUUUCUAAGUACCAUGCCUCUGUGCUGUCCAGACACCUCAACAUAAAGGUCGAGGGAGGUGGUUACUCUAUCAAAUCUUUGUGAUGUGAUUUGGAGAAAGAAGGUAAUGAAGCUAUAAGAAGCUUCAGUGGAACCAUCGGUUUCAGAUUGAUUGUUUAAUUCAGCCAUGUGUUGACUUAGCAAAAAUGAGAAUGAGAAAAUCCUAUGAAGACAUUGUAUCCUGCAAAUUAUUUCAUUAUUGUUUUAUGAAUUACAUUGCCAGAUGUGAAGAAAACAAUGCUGUUGUAACUGUUUUAAAACAAUUAAUUAGUUCAUUGAAACUUUUCCUGAUGUUUUAGAUCCAUGGUUCCAACCCUGGCUGCCUAUUAGAAUCACCUGGGGAAUUUUUCAAACAUAUCAAUGCUUGGACCUUAGACCAAUUAAAUCAGAAUUUAAUUGGGGUGGGGCUCUGGCAUCAGUUUGUUUAUUUUUUCUAAGCUCCCCAGAUGACUUUACUAUGCAGUCAGGCUUGAACACCACUAUUUUAAGUGAAAUUAAUUAGUAAAAUCUGCCUGACAGCAGCUUGGAAAAAAACAGCAGUCAGUCAUUAACUAAUGCCAUCAUAUGGGCUUGGUUACCUGUAAAUGCAGAGUUAACAAGCAAAGUCUUUAGGAGAGAGGAAAACAUGGAGGGGAGAUGCUUCUGUAAUUAUCUGACCCCAAUGCACACUGCUGUCUCCCUCAGGCUCCAAACACAUGCUGUGGGGUAGGCACAGCUCUAGCCUGGCUGAGCAGAGUGAAAAGAGCACAUAUUUUCUGUCCCUGGUAGAUGUCACAUCCCCAAUCUACUGCCACAGUUGCCUUGCCUUGUUUCUGCUAUGAACUUCCUGAACCUUGGCCACUGCAGCCUCUCCACUCCCUGGCUAGCCUAUCCUCGGCCUGUGGCUAACUUGCCAGCCUCAUCACCCUCUUCCAGCUUCCUAAUUCAAGGUCCUCCUGCCCCGAUGCCACCCAGGUUUUAAUGGAAAGUUCACGUGAUGCUGCUCUCCUUUUUAAACACAGAUGACCAUCAUACAUAUUAUAUAUCUUCUUUUACGUGUAUGGCAUAUAUAUGCUAAUUUAAGUAUAAUCACUAAGGAGUUUGGUUCUAGCCAGUUCUGUGUGAUUUUGGUCAGUUCACUCAAUCUCUUUUGAUCUCAGGGUCCUUAUUUAUGAAAAGAGAUGAUCACUAAGUGUUCCCUUCCAGUGCUGAAAUCAAUGUGAGGAAAUGUGUCCACGUAGUUAAACCUACACAAAUGAUGGUAAAUAAGCCAACUGUGAUUAUCGAUUUAGCCCUUCAAUAUCUCUGAGAUCUUUGGAUUAGAUUUUGGUAUCCUCUGGUGAGAUUUGACUUUAACAUCAUCUCCUGUCUUCUGUCUACUUGUCCAUAGUCUUGUUUGUUGUCUGUGAUAACUUUCUUCAGUCUUGUCUAUGAGAAAUCUCCCAAAAGAAGAGAUUUAUAUUUAUAUAAAUAUAUUCCC